Acanthosepion pharaonis is the source of this 91-nucleotide non-coding RNA. The record is from the annotation of a GenBank genome assembly. NCBI's taxonomy places the organism in Eukaryota, Metazoa, Mollusca, Cephalopoda, Sepiida, Sepiidae.
GUUGAAACACCGGUUUCCGUACGAUCACCGAAGUUAAACAACGUCUAGCAUGGUCAGUCCCUAGAUGAGUAACCGCUUGGGAAUAUCAGGU